AGCGGUAUCCACUGGUCACCACUGGAAAUGAAAACAGCCUGGGGUUAAGAAGGCAAUUGCAGCAGAUCGGAUCACCAGAGGUCUGAGACAAAAUGAGGUGCAGAAGAAACCAUCUCCUGAUCUUCACCAGUGACCCCUGCUAGAAGGUAUUGGCCUUAAGAACCAAAAAGAGCCCUAAAUAAGAUCACUGUACCAGAGCGGGGGUCUCACUGUGUCCCUGCAAUGAAUAUGGGAUACAGCUGGAGGUGAUGACUCUACCACAAGUCAGCGACAUGGUGGCCACCAUGUCAGGAUCAGAUGACCUGCACUUCAGCAAGAGGCAGAUUCCGGGCUCGGUCUCUGCACUCACCCACCGGACUUUCUGCAGUCAGACGUAUUCACUAAAGAAGUGAGUUUCCUGCUGCAUCAAAGGCAGAUUCCAGGCUUGGUCUCUG
Bufo bufo (common toad) is the source of this 434-nucleotide long non-coding RNA. RefSeq lists it as uncharacterized. Lineage: Eukaryota; Metazoa; Chordata; Amphibia; Anura; Bufonidae. The record is from RefSeq and is a predicted model, not a curated record. The transcript has 2 exons.